AGCCACAUUUAGUAUUUAUAGCUAGCAAACUGGUUAAUGGUAAUGUAAACUAAGCUUUUAAACUAUUUUCUACUAGCUAUGGCGUUUUGACUCUCGCGCACUAGCUCGAUAACAGAAUUGUUUAGUCGUCACUGGCUCGGUUGCUCGGUUUGUAAUGCUACUAGUAUAAAGUGAGAGAUUCAACGAUUGCCGCGGAUUAGACAGCUAGUGCCACAUUCUUGCAAAAUGACUGCGAUUAGCUAGCUAGUUACAGUACAAGUAGCCAGCAUUCUAGUCAUUUUACCUUUGUAUGUCUCUCAUGUUUAACAAAUCCAACGUAAUUACACACAAAAAAAAAUAUAUUGAUGAACACAUAGCUAGCCCGUGGACAUUGUGUCGAUGAACAUAUAGCUAGCUAAUGUUCGUUUUAUCCAGUUAACUGACAUUCGGCAUAUCUCGAUUUACUGCAGCGACCCCUGGUGGUAGUUGGAGCUCGGUGGAAUUGAAUGAAGCAUUAUGGCUGCUUUACCUUUUCCCUGCCCAGUUCGAUUAGGCAUCGUGAAAAGUGGAGGCUUACCCGCUCAGCUGCACAGGUACAGUCUGGAGAAGAAUCUGCACAAGAUGGAGAAACUGCUGAAGAAAGGUGUAGAUGUGGACUGUGUCAACCACUUGGGCCAGUCACCUCUGUUCUGUGCAUCUCUCCUGGGCCUGGCUAAUGUCACCGAGCUGCUACUGCAAUAUGGAGCCGACCCAAACCACCGUUGUGAGGACAGGAGCACCCCCGUCCACGCUGCCGUCUUCUCCUGUAAUCCCUGGCUGCUGAGCGGCCUGCUGGACGCAGGGGGGGACCUGAGGCUUCACGACCACAAAGGCAGGAGUCCCCGAGACUGGGCCGAAGCUGGGGCUCAGGAGAACAGUGCCAGGAUGCUUGAGUUCCUGAAGAACUGUGAGGCCCACGUGCACAGCCUGACUCAAACCCCCCCACCCAGGGAGCUGCACCAGUCCCCCUCCUUCACCUCCUCCAAGACUUUGCUGCGCUCCCCCUCUCUGCUAGAGGUCCUCAAGUUUGGUGGCUCUGACCUGCACCUCAACAGAAAGAUGACCAAGUCCUCUGCCUGUGACACAGUUCAAUGUUUUGGCUUCGGAAAGUUGUGUAAAGAUAAGCCUGGACAGGCGUUGGGCCUUCUUGCCUCCUUGCCUGUGAUUGGAGACGGUGAGUUAAGGCAGGCAGAUGACGAACCGCUUCUCUACUUCACGUGUGGCUCCUUCAUCUCCAUGACCAAUUACAGCUGGAAGGGCUGCAGGGUGACUGUGAAAGAGCUGCAGUCCCUCUCCUCCCCACUAGAGGGGAGCCACGAGGCCUAUCUGGACCUGCUGCUCAUUGAGCUGGACUACGGCAGCCAGCUGUUCCACCCCCACCUGCUGCAGCUGAUGGCAGUGAGCAUGUCUGCUGACCUGAUGAGGGUCGGCCUGGUGUAUGAGAGGGUCCACAUGGGCUCACUGCACAGCCUGCUACACCACAGGCGUUCCGAGUUCCCCCUGCUGCCUGCUGGAACCGUGCUGUUGGUGCUGCUGCAGGUGUGUGAGGCUCUGCUGUAUUUCCAUGGCCGAGGCCUGGUUCUGCGUGGCCUCUCCUCACACAGCGUCCUCCUCACACACCCCGGCGUGGCCAAGCUCUCCGGCCUUGGAUUCAUGGUGCCCAGAGCAUUGGUCUGUAUGUCCAGUGAGGGCAGUAGCUCCAAGCCCGUGGCCCAUCUAGCCCUGCCCCCAGGCCUGUACAACUGGGCCGCCCCGGAGGUGAUCCGACGGAGACCCUGCACGGCCAGGGCAGACCUCUACAGCCUGUGCUCCCUCAUCCAGGAGAUCUACACAGACUCAGUGCCUUGGGGCCCAGUGGACCCCCAGUGGAUCAGAAAGGCAGUAGAGUCAGGCCAGGCCCUGUCUGCAGACGCCAGGGUGCCCCAGCCCUACUACACCCUGGUCAGGGUGGGACUGCAUCCACGCCCCCAGGACCGCACACACAGCCUGCAGGACCUCCGCUACACUCUACGCCAAGACAUCCAGGAGCUGGCCCAGCUAGGGAGGAGGACAACUGUUCUGGACCCAGGGACAGGAUUAGGGCUCCAGUCAGGCUGGAGUCCAGAGUCAGUCACAGCCAAUAGGAUGGCACACGAUGGUGGCCUCCAGACCUGUGCUGAACCCCUGGGCGGUCAUCCUGGUCAGAUCCAAGACCAGCUCAGCCCGCUGGAUAAACUGUUGGACCGAGAGACCGAUGAGGAGGGAGGCGGAGAGAGGGGGUUGACCACAGAUUCUGAGCAGCCCCCCCUUUACAGUGCCAUCCCCUUCAGGGACAUCGUCCGCCUAGAUGACUGGCGCCUGUGUCCCGCCUCCCCCUCAGAGACCUCCAGCGCCCGGGAGGAAGAGUCCGACUCCAGUACCGUGACAGAGGAGGAGGAGGAGAUAAAGGAGCGGGCUGUCCGGCCAGAUCACCCGGCGUCCACGGUGCUUUCGGGACACAUCAGCUCCAUAGUGCUCAACCUCAAGGUCUCCCAGGUGUUGCUGCAGCAGUCCCAGUGCAACCUGAGCGCCGCCGAGCGCCGCCAAAGGCAACAGGAGUGCGAGCCGGAGGACGAGGUGGACGACGGGCCGGGCAGAUCAGAGGCUCCGGUGGCCCACGCCUCCUCCUCAGGCUCCUCCACUCUGUCCCGCGCGGUGGGUCCUCCCUCGCAGUACCGGCUCCUGCCACACGCCGUCUACCCCUCCUCCAGGAGGCUGGAGGCCCGGCUGCUGAAGGGAGGGGAGUCCAGGCGACUCAGCUCGGAGGAGCUGGCUGUGUGGCAGAGGGAGUACCCUGACCUGGAGGACACGGUGGAGGGCCUUUCAGAGGAGUCCUCUGCUUCAGAGGGAACCGGCAGUGAGUGCAUGGAGGCGAGCCACUACAGCUCGGCUCAGGAGGACAGCUUUGUCACCAAGCGGCCCAGAAGGCAGCAGCAGGCAUGGAGAGGUCCAAGCCCCAGAGAGACUGAGAGAGGAGGUCAGCUGGCUGGGAGACGGAUGCUUACUGACAGGCCCUGUCAGUCCUUAGACUGGACAGACUCUCUAGAGGACAGUCCUCCUCCCCAGCCCCAACCUGAGCCCCCACACAAGGCCAAAUGGACCAGUGAGGUGUCAGAGUUGGUGUCCAGAAUGACCCGGGGGCAUCUGGCUUUGGCUGUGGGCCACCCUAGUAGCAGUGACAGUGAAGAGGGUGAGGACAGACCACGACAGAGGCUUGGGCCUGCAGUGGGACCCCACAGACCCAGACAGAACCUCCAGGGACGCUGGGACAGUGACCUCAGACCCAGUGCCACUGCUGCCCUGCAGCCUCAGAAAGCUGCAGCUGAUGCUACCCAAAGCAGCUUCCAGCUUGAGCAGAUCUUCAAGAGCUUUGCAGGGAUCCAGAAUGAGAGUGAAGAGGAUGUAGAUUUCCACACUCUUAAUAUGACGUGUGAUGUGUGGGCUGAACAAAGACAGGAGGAGGGCAACUCUGAGUCUGACUACUGCCAGUCUCCAGUGGAGCCUUCUAGCAUGUUCUACACCCCCAACCCAGAACAGAGGAACAACCCCUCCAGAGACAGCCAGUUGAGCCCUGUCAGUUCAGAGGAGGACUUGGAUGUAACCGUGGAGGUGUGUAAGGCUGCUGUCAAUGGGACCGGCCCAGAGGAGCAGACCCUGAGGACCGGCCCAGAGGAGCAGACCCUGAGGACCGGCCCAGAGGAGCAGACCCUGAGGACCGGCCCAGAGGAGCAGACCCUGAGGACCGGCCCAGAGGAGCAGACCCUGAGGACCGGCCCAGAGGAGCAGACCCUGAGGACCGGCCCAGAGGAGCAGACCCUGAGGACCGGCCCAGAGGAGCAGACCCUGAGGACCGGCCCAGAGGAGCAGACCCUGAGGACCGGCCCAGAGGAGCAGACCCUGAGGACCGAACCCAGGGAGUGUCCGCCUUUUCAGGAGGAGUCAGAGAAGACCGAAAUAAACACGACUGUCAGUCAGAAUGUCUCCGUCCCACUGAUCAGUGUUUUACCUGACCUGGCUGAUGUCUCCAGCAUCACAUGCUCACCCUCCCAGCACCAGGAGUGGGGGGGCCAGGACAGACUUCACACCAGCCCCCUGAACAGACGGCCGCCACCCUGCAACAGCACCCCACGCAGCCCAGCAGCUGCACCCAAUUACAGAACCACAGAGGUCACUGGGGAGCCCAUCCCUCCCCCUCCCAGCCUGCUGGACACCUCUCACUGGAGCAGCAGCCGCUCCCAACCGCCCAACACGGAGAGCUUUGCCACUGCCAACCUGGGAGCCAUUAGCACGGUCAGAACAACGGACACGAUGAGAGACCUCUCCCUCCAAGAGAGUGACUCGGCCACAGGUCACCUACAGUUCAUCAUGGCCAGCUCCAGAGACAGACCGACCCCUGGAACAAGCCAAGAGGGGUUGGGCUCCACCUACAGCAUAGCAACUAGCCGCCAGGAGAAUGAGGAGGAGAGGGGCGAACUGAGUGAUCACUUUGAGGAGAACAAAGUUAAUUCUGUCGAAGGGCAGAGAGGGAUGUCACUGGAUGCAGGCGUUAAAACAAAGCUGGAGGAAAAUAAUUCUCCAGAAGGGUCUGAUCAGGGCAGCUGUGAUCUGGUGGAUGCCAAUGUGAUGGAUGCCAGCUUCUCCGUUCCAGAGGGAGAGGAUGAGGCAGGGUUUGGUGAGCAACAGUUACCAGGCCACGGUGAGGAUUGCGCAGCCAGUAUAGAGUCGACAGAGACUUCAGGAGUCCAGUGUGCAGAGGAGACUGAUCGAGCUCACUCCACUCUGGAUGAGGUUCUGCAGGGCAUGUUGCUGGACCGGGCAACUGGUCAAGCGGUUCCCAGUAGCGGCCCGGUCGCAGUCCCCAAACCACUGCUUGGUGCGUGUGAGGCCCAGGGGGAGGGGAGUGAGGACGCAGGUUGCCCUGCAGGGGAUGGUGCCUUGGCUGCAGAAUGGAGAAGAGUCCACCCCACUGACGAGGCAGAGCCAGCGACUGCGACAGAGUUGGAGACUGCUAAUCAUGGGACAUGGAGUCAGCCUCACAGGAUGAGUGUGCUGGAGCAGACUCCCAUCAAAAGUCAAAGUGACCCCAACCAAGUGAGAGCUUACAACUAGGAAAACAUAUGGAACAUCUCAGUAAUAACCAACUUCUGACCUAACAGCACUGAUUUCCUUACCACAUCACCAGUCUAUGGGUUACAUACAACACAAUCCACUCACCUGCUAGUACAAACAACUGCCUUUUUAAGCACUUGAACGCAUGGCAUGAAAAUACAUGUUGGUUCUGGAUUUUGGAUCAUUUAUGCGUUUUACCCUGUAAGUUCUUUCUAAACAUGAUUUAAAUGUUAUUGAUAUAUUUUAUGUAUUGGGUAUCAUUCAGUGGUCUCUGGGCUAUGAAGUUGUUUGUGUUACUGUUAAUCUGUAUAAGGUUAUUGCUGUUUCAGUUGAUGAUUAUAAUUAUUUUUAGGUAUUAAGUUGUUACUAUACAGUGAGUUAUCCAAACUGUAUAAAAUUGUAAUUUCACCACUACCUAUAGGCCAGAAGAAUGUUAUGGCUAAUCUGCAUUUGUACUUCAUGGAUUAAAUAACACUUUAUUUAGAUAAUCAACCUGUAGAUGCUUUACAGACUGUCUACAGACCGUCAAUAACAUUUCAAUGUGCUGUCUAUCAAUCCCAACCUGAAACCUCAUCCAAUCCCUCACCUUAGCCAGCAUUUACUUUGUUGUUGAUGUUUGAUAGUAUGAGUAUCUGUGGAGCAAAAAGAUGUCAGUUUUGACUAUCCACAAAGUGUAACCAUGGAUUAUCUUAAGGUUCCUGUUAAUUUUAUGCAAUUGUUUUACAUACUUAGGUGAUAGAAUUAAAACCUUAGCUUUGAUA
Esox lucius (northern pike) is the source of this 5906-nucleotide long non-coding RNA. RefSeq annotates it as inactive serine/threonine-protein kinase TEX14. The transcript has 28 exons. Lineage: Eukaryota; Metazoa; Chordata; Actinopteri; Esociformes; Esocidae. The record is from RefSeq and is a predicted model, not a curated record.